GUGCCAGCCGCCGCGGUAAUACCGGCAGCUCAAGUGAUGUCCCAUAUUAUUGGGCCUAAAGCGUCCGUAGCUGGCCGACCAAGUCUCCCGGGAAAUCCAUCAGCUCAACUGAUGGGCGUCCGGCGGAAACUGCACGGCUUGGGACCGGAAGGCUCGAGAGGUACGUCCGGGGUAGGAGUGAAAUCCCGUAAUCCCGAACGGACCACCGAUGGCGAAAGCAUCUCGAGAAAACGGAUCCGACAGUGAGGGACGAAAGCUAGGGUCUCGAACCGGAUUAGAUACCCUAGUAGUCC
RNAcentral lists this ribosomal RNA (293 nucleotides) under uncultured bacterium. Its description in RNAcentral is "partial 16S ribosomal RNA". It matches the Rfam family "Archaeal small subunit ribosomal RNA", at positions 455 to 747 of the family's 1478-position model. The record is from RNAcentral.